Molecule: long non-coding RNA, 1919 nt
Organism: Sarcophilus harrisii (Tasmanian devil)
Lineage: Eukaryota; Metazoa; Chordata; Mammalia; Dasyuromorphia; Dasyuridae
Exons: 4
Source: RefSeq, a predicted model, not a curated record
UAAAUUUUUGUCUAUUUUAUUUUUAUAGGAAUGUAUGAUAAGCUCUGAUAGCAAGUCAUCAUGAUAAACAAGAGAUGAAAAAAAAAAGAUAAACAAGAGAUGGUAUGUAUCAGAUGAGAGAAAUCACUUCCCCUCAGACCCUGAUGGAGACAACUCUGGACUCUGAGUCAAAGAACCUCCGGAAUAACUUGCAUCCAUUUUUGAAGGGAGCUACCACUGUUCUGCAACUACUGUUGAAGGAAACAGGCACCAUGGAGAAAGAGACCAGCUGCUGAUCCAAGAUCAGAGACCUUUUGGAGCAUUGUGUUCAGUUCUGGGAAUCACAGUUUAAGGACACUGAUAAAAUGAAGAGUAUAGGGGGGAAAGCAACAAUAUGAAGAUUAUUUAAAGAAUCAAGGCAUGUUUAGCUUGGAGAAGAGAAGACAAAUAUUUAAAAGGCUCUUAUGUAGAAAGGAGUCAUUAGACUUCUGUUUAAGCUUAGAGGUCAGAAUGAAGAACAAUGGGACAAAACUGCAAAAAAAAAAAAAAAAAGCUAAUUCAGGAAAAAUGUUAGGAAAAGAGAUCUAACAUUCAGAGGUAUUCAGAAGUGGAAUGGAUUGUCUCACUGAUGAUAGGUUCCCCUCCUUAGAAUUCUUUAAGCAGAGAUUUGUUGGGUAUGUGUAGUAGAACUAUGUUCAGCUAUGAGUUGAAUCAAAAGACUGCUGAGGUCACUUCAAAUUUAAAUUCUGUGAUUUUUCUGAAUGAAAAUUGAAGGAAAUCCCAUCACAAGUACCUCUUUAUUCCCAGAAUGAUUAUUUAAUGCCAAUAUUGAUUGUCUCAGGAUUUCUGAUUUCUGGUGGGUUCCUUCUCUAAUCUUAGUCUGGGUUCUGCUUUCUACUCUGAUUAAGUUUGCCUCAGUUUAUGUGUCUUUCUCCAGAAGCAAAUAUGAAUACCUACAUCUUGGGGGUACAUGUGACCUAAGUAUAUGUGACUGAGGAGUGAAAUGUAACUAUGACUAUUUGGUAGACUCCCCAGAUCACAACUUCUUGGAUUCCAAUUGUCAUCUCCAGUUUUCCUGUUUUUGUUUUGGCAAUAUUCUAGGUAAUGGAGAAAUUGGUUAAAGAAUGACUUAAACAGAGGAGAACAGGGAGAACAGGACUUGAAGAGUCAGCUUGGCUCAGAGAUAGGUUUAUAAUAAAAAUUGGACUUUUCCAGCUAUCCUCUCAUCUUCAUUUCCCUGGGGGCAUCUUGUUCCUGAUGGAAAUCUUAAUCCAUGAUAUACAAUGAGCACAAGGUUUAGAAUAGUCCAAGGGGAAGUAGGAUUCACAUAGAAUGCCCUGAGGGUAGAGAACAGAUUAUUACUAGAGAGAGGAAGAGCUUCAGUUUGGAGAAGGAAGUUAGCAAGUAUCCUUGGCUUCCAUCAGCUUUUAUAUCCUCUUUCCCAGGGCAAUGUCCUUGUGUCAGACUUUUUGAUGACCUCGUGGUAGGCAGCAAGUUUAGCUUGAAUGAUCUACUCUUUGCAAGGAUAAUCUCUACACACUAUAUCCCAAUUCCAACCCUGGAUCAUACUUCCUAAUACUCAGGAAUAAUAAGGAGUCAGCCAAGGGAUUGAGGCUGAGACUACCAACUUUCUACUGUGAGAAAUGAUAUGGUCCUCAAUGCUCUUAAGGCUUAGGGGAAGAACACACUAUGGAGGAAACACUUGCAGAUAAAGGUGAGAAAGGAAAGGAUGAAGAUUUCAGCAAAAGGAAUGGAAUCCUAGCAGAGAAAUUGGCACCCUGAAGGAAGAACUGUCCAUGAAGUCAGUGAUGGUGAUGUAGGAGAAAGUAUACUGGAAAAAAUGUGGAGUUAAGAGUUAGAAGAUUCAAUCAAUUCUGAUGAAUGUGACUUUCCAACAGUGAGAUGACUGGUGCCAGUGCCAAUGAUCUUGUGACAAAGAG